CCUACGGGCGGCAGCAGUGAGGAAUAUUGGUCAAUGGGCGCGAGCCUGAACCAGCCAAGUCGCGUGAGGGAAGACGGUCCUAUGGAUUGUAAACCUCUUUUGUCGGGGAGCAAAAGACGCCACGCGUGGCGUUCCGAGAGUACCCGAAGAAAAAGCAUCGGCUAACUCCGUGCCAGCAGCCGCGGUAAUACGGAGGAUGCGAGCGUUAUCCGGUUUUAUUGGGUUUGAAGGGUGCGCAGGCGGAAGAUCAAGUCAGCGGUAAAAUUGAGGGGCUAAACCUCUUCGGGCCGUUGAAACUGGUUGUCUUGAGUGAGCGAGAGGUAUGCGGAAUGCGUGGUGUAGCGGUGAAAUGCAUAGAUAUCACGCAGAACUCCGAUUGCGAAGGCAGCAUACCGGCGCUCAACUGACGCUCAUGCACGAAAGUGUGGGGAUCGAACAGGAUUAGAUACCCCUGUAGUC
Molecule: ribosomal RNA, 459 nt
Filed under: uncultured bacterium
Lineage: Bacteria
Description: partial 16S ribosomal RNA
Rfam family: Bacterial small subunit ribosomal RNA
Source: RNAcentral